UACGUAGGGUGCGAGCGUUGUCCGGAAUUAUUGGGCGUAAAGAGCUUGUAGGCGGUUUGUUGCGUCUGCUGUGAAAAUCCGGGGCUCAACCCCGGACUUGCAGUGGGUACGGGCAGACUAGAGUGUGGUAGGGGAGACUGGAAUUCCUGGUGUAGCGGUGGAAUGCGCAGAUAUCAGGAAGAACACCCGUGGCGAAGGCGGCUUUCUGGGACGGUACUGACGCUGAGACGCGAAAGCGUGGGGAGCGAACAGG
RNAcentral lists this ribosomal RNA (253 nucleotides) under uncultured bacterium. RNAcentral's name for it is "partial 16S ribosomal RNA". It matches the Rfam family "Bacterial small subunit ribosomal RNA", at positions 524 to 776 of the family's 1533-position model. The record is from RNAcentral.